AUGGGGUCAGCGCAAGCGAAGCUCUUGAUCGAAGCCCCGGUAAACGGCGGCCGUAACGAUAACGGUCCUAAGGUAGCGAAAUUCCUUGUCGGGUAAGUUCCGACCUGCACGAAUGGCGUAAUGAUGGCCAGGCUGUCUCCACCCGAGACUCAGUGAAAUUGAACUCGCUGUGAAGAUGCAGUGUACCCGCGGCAAGACGGAAAGACCCCGUGAACCUUUACUAUAGCUUGACACUGAACACUGGUCCUUGAUGUGUAGGAUAGGUGGGAGGCUUUGAAGCGUGGACGCCAGUCUGCGUGGAGCCGACCUUGAAAUACCACCCUUUAAUGGCUGGUGUUCUAACGUAGACCCGUAAUCCGGGUUGCGGACAGUGUCUGGUGGGUAGUUUGACUGGGGCGGUCUCCUCCCAAAGAGUAACGGAGGAGCACGAAGGUUGGCUAAUCCUGGUCGGACAUCAGGAGGUUAGUGCAAUGGCAUAAGCCAGCUUGACUGCGAGCGUGACGGCGCGAGCAGGUGCGAAAGCAGGUCAUAGUGAUCCGGUGGUUCUGAAUGGAAGGGCCAUCGCUCAACGGAUAAAAGGUACUCCGGGGAUAACAGGCUGAUACCGCCCAAGAGUUCAUAUCGACGGCGGUGUUUGGCACCUCGAUGUCGGCUCAUCACAUCCUGGGGCUGAAGUAGGUCCCAAGGGUAUGGCUGUUCGCCAUUUAAAGUGGUACGCGAGCUGGGUUUAGAACGUCGUGAGACAGUUCGGUCCCUAUCUGCCGUGGGCGCUGGAGAAUUGAGGGGGGCUGCUCCUAGUACGAGAGGACCGGAGUGGACGCAUCACUGGUGUUCGGGUUGUCAUGCCAAUGGCACUGCCCGGUAGCUAAAUGCGGAAGAGAUAAGUGCUGAAAGCAUCUAAGCACGAAACUUGCCCCGAGAUGAGUUCUCCCUGAGACUUUAAGUCUCCUGAAGGAACGUUGAAGACGACGACGUUGAUAGGUCGGGUGUGUAAGCGCAGCGAUGCGUUGAGCUAACCGAUACUAAUGAACCGCGAGGCAGAGAUAA
RNAcentral lists this ribosomal RNA (1047 nucleotides) under Pampus argenteus (silver pomfret). RNAcentral describes it as "bacterial LSU rRNA". It matches the Rfam family "Bacterial large subunit ribosomal RNA", at positions 1884 to 2925 of the family's 2925-position model. Lineage: Eukaryota; Metazoa; Chordata; Actinopteri; Scombriformes; Stromateidae. The record is from RNAcentral.